Molecule: ribosomal RNA, 442 nt
Filed under: uncultured bacterium
Lineage: Bacteria
Description: bacterial SSU rRNA
Rfam family: Bacterial small subunit ribosomal RNA
Source: RNAcentral
CCUACGGGGGGCAGCAGUGAGGAAUAUUGGUCAAUGGUCGGGAGACUGAACCAGCCAAGCCGCGUGAGGGAGGAAGGUACAGAGUAUCGUAAACCUCUUUUGUCAGGGAACAAAGGCGGGGACGUGUCCCCGGAUGAGUGUACCUGAAGAAAAAGCAUCGGCUAACUCCGUGCCAGCAGCCGCGGUAAUACGGAGGAUGCGAGCGUUAUCCGGAUUUAUUGGGUUUAAAGGGUGCGCAGGCGGUCUGUUAAGUCAGCGGUCAAAGCCCGGGGCUCAACCCCGGCCCGCCGUUGAAACUGGCAGUCUCGAGUUGGAGAGAAGUAUGCGGAAUGCGCGGUGUAGCGGUGAAAUGCAUAGAUAUCGCGCAGAACUCCGAUUGCGAAGGCAGCAUGCCGGCUCCACACUGACGCUGAGGCACGAAAGCGUGGGUAUCGAACAGGAU